GAUGAAGAACGUAGCGAAAUGCGAUAACUAGUGUGAAUUGCAGAAUUCAGUGAAUCAUCGAAUCUUUGAACGCACAUUGCGCCCCCUGGUAUUCCGGGGGGCAUGCCUGUCCGAGCGUCAUUACAACCCUCAAGCUCAGCUUGGUGUUGGGCCCCGCCGCCCCGGCGGGCCCUAAAGUCAGUGGCGGUGCCGUCCGGCUCCGAGCGUAGUAAUUCUUCUCGCUCUGGAGGUCCGGUCGUGUGCUCGCCAGCAACCCCCAAUUUUUUUCAGGUUGACCUCGGAUCAGGUAGGGAUACCCGCUGAACUUAAGCAUAUCAAUAAGCGGAGGA
RNAcentral lists this unclassified non-coding RNA (329 nucleotides) under soil metagenome. Its description in RNAcentral is "partial contains 5.8S ribosomal RNA, internal transcribed spacer 2, and large subunit ribosomal RNA". The stretch from base 1 to 120 matches the Rfam family "5.8S ribosomal RNA", at positions 35 to 154 of the family's 154-position model. The record is from RNAcentral.